AUCGCAAAGAAGAUCCCAUGAUUUUGGGAGAAAAAGGGGAAGAUGACACAUUCAUCGCUGCUCCUACUGUUUUUCGUGGCCGCCGUGGCCGCAUCCAGCUUCGACGACUCCAACCCCAUCCGGCUGGUAUCCGACGAGCUCCACGGAAUCGAGUCACAGGUCCGGCACGUGAUCGGCGAGAGCGCCCAUGCAGUGUCGUUCGCCCGCUUCGCCCGGCGCUUCAGGAAGAGCUACCGGACGACGGAGGAGAUGAAGCGAAGGUUCCAGAUCUUCUCUGAUAAUCUGAAACUCAUCAGAUCCACCAACAGGAAGCGACUUUCGUACACUCUCGGUGUUAAUCACUUUGCUGAUUGGAGUUGGGAGGAGUUCAAAACACAGAGACUUGGCGCUGCUCAAAAUUGCUCUGCCACCCUCAAAGGCAGCCACAAGAUCACCCAAGCUCCUCUUCCUGAAUCGAAAGACUGGAGAGAAGAAGGUAUAGUCAGUCCAGUAAAAAAUCAAGGCCAGUGCGGAUCUUGCUGGACAUUCAGCACAACUGGAGCAUUGGAGGCUGCCUAUGCUCAAGCAUAUGGAAAGAAUAUCUCUCUUUCUGAGCAGCAGCUGGUGGAUUGUGCUGGUAAUUUCAACAACUUUGGCUGCAAUGGUGGGUUACCGUCCCAAGCCUUUGAGUAUAUUAAAUACAACGGUGGCCUUGAGACUGAGGAGGCAUACCCCUAUACUGCAAAAGAUGGUGUUUGCAAAUUUACAGCUGCAAAUGUUGCCGUUCAGGUCACUGAGUCUUUCAACAUCACCCUGGGUGCUGAGGAUGAAUUGAAACACGCAGUUGCUUUUGUUCGGCCAGUUAGUGUGGCAUUUGAGGUGGUUGACAGCUUCCAAUUGUACGCCGGAGGAGUUUACACUAGUAAAACUUGUGGCAGCAAGCCAAUGGAUGUGAAUCAUGCUGUUCUUGCCAUUGGGUAUGGAGUUGAAGGUGGUGUCCCGUAUUGGCUCAUAAAAAAUUCGUGGGGAGAAGAAUGGGGUGACAAAGGCUACUUCAAGAUGGAAAUGGGCAAGAAUAUGUGUGGUGUUGCAACUUGUGCGUCGUAUCCUUCUGUGGCAUAAUUUGUAUGCGGAUACAUGUGGUGGCUGUUAGGCAGCGCUUGUGAUUUCUGCCACCUACUUCAAAGGAUGAGAAGAGGUGGGGCUUCCUCUGCCGCAUGACAUUGCACGUGAAAGUGGAUAUGGGCCGAAGUUCAGGGAAAAGGGAGUUAGGAGUGUGGGACCCACAAAUAAUGGGGCCAUGAGCAUGAGAAUUGAGACGAAAUGGAUGAAGAGUCAAGAGAGACAGACCAUGGAAAUUAUGGUUGAUGAGGAUGGCCCUUCAUCAGCGCUGAGAAGUAAUAGGAGCAAACAAAACGUGGUUGCUCUAGAUUGAAUUGACCAGACACGUGGCAUGAUCUCGGUAUUCAUAGGGACAAGCCUCGCCGGCCCACCACCACUGCCUGCCAGAGCCAGCAACGUGCCACCUCCCCUCCUCGUUAUUGAUGCUUUUACAUUACUAUACAAUAUUAUCCAUAAUAAACUGGUCAAUCACAUACCUCUAAAUUUUAAUUAAAAAAAAUCAUAACUAGUAAUAGUAUACUAGUAUAUCCAAUAAUCUUUUUUCCCCAAAAUAUUGUUAUUACUUACUCAAUUCCGGGGAUAGGUUUUCUUUUCAUACAUUCAAUAUUUGAUCAACCUUAUUAUGUAUUCUGUGAACCACAAAUUACAAACUGGCAGCUUUGCAUAAUGACAA
Molecule: RNA transcript, 1774 nt
Organism: Arachis stenosperma
Lineage: Eukaryota; Viridiplantae; Streptophyta; Magnoliopsida; Fabales; Fabaceae
Gene name: pro-cathepsin H-like
Exons: 8
Source: RefSeq, a predicted model, not a curated record